Molecule: ribosomal RNA, 336 nt
Filed under: uncultured bacterium
Lineage: Bacteria
Description: partial 16S ribosomal RNA
Rfam family: Bacterial small subunit ribosomal RNA
Source: RNAcentral
CCUACGGGAGGCAGCAGUGGGGGAUAUUGCACAAUGGGGGGAACCCUGAUGCAGCGACGCCGCGUGGGUGAAGGAGUGCUUCGGCAUGUAAAGCCCUAUCGGCAGGGAAGAAGCAAGACGGUACCUGACUAAGAAGCCCCGGCUAACUACGUGCCAGCAGCCGCGGUAAUACGUAGGGGGCGAGCGUUAUCCGGAUGCACUGGGUGUAAAGGGAGCGGAGACGGCCAGGCAAGCCAGGGGUGAAAGCCCGGGGCCCAACCCCGGGACUGCCCUUGGAACGGCAUGGCUGGAGUGCGGGCGGGGCAGGCGGCAUUCCUGGUGUAGCGGUGAAAUGCG